This 259-nucleotide unclassified non-coding RNA is filed under the name Rhizophagus intraradices. Its description in RNAcentral is "partial contains 5.8S ribosomal RNA and internal transcribed spacer 2". The stretch from base 1 to 65 matches the Rfam family "5.8S ribosomal RNA", at positions 84 to 154 of the family's 154-position model. Lineage: Eukaryota; Fungi; Glomeromycota; Glomeromycetes; Glomerales; Glomeraceae. The record is from RNAcentral.
GUGAAUCAUCGAAUCUUUGAACGCAAAUUGCACUCUCUUCGGAGAGUAUGCCUGUUUGAGGGUCAGUAUUAAUAAAAAUCGGUGUGUUGCUUCUUUGUGACGCUCCGGAGUUUGGGUCAUCUUAAUAUCCUUUAGGUUUUAAGGGGCUUAAAAUUGACCUUAUUUGCGCAUUUUUAGACGUACAUAAAUUUUUUUUUUUUUCGUCUAUUCUUAAUUCCAAAAUCUUAUUAAAUGCGAUCCCAUUGUGUGAUUUCGUGCC